AUAUUACAUUUGUGCCCUUCUCCAUCUGCUUCUGUAUUCAUCUUCCGAUCCGGCUUGUUCCUCUACGAGUUCUCCGACUGAACUAGAGAUCUAAUUCUGAUGGCAACAAACAAUUAGAUAGCCGCAUGUGCUGUUCUCUUUGCCAUUGAAACGAUUUAUGGCUCUGCGUUAAUCUUAUUCCACGACUGAAACUGAAAGGUACUUCGUUUUUGUAAUUCCUUUCGUAUCCUUUUAUUUGGCCGACCAACUCCGCUUCGGGAUUGUUCAGUUUCCCUUGUUUGCUCCUGCAUAGCUCUUCUCUCAAGCAUUACCCACUGUCUCUGCUACAUAGGUGAUAGGAUUAAGAGAAUCAAGUGAAGGAAUAGGGCAGACACUCUAUUUCAAGAUCCCAGGAGGGAGAUACAGACUAGAGUAUGAGAAAACUUGCACCGUUGAUCUUCUUAUUAUGCCCAUGGCAAGACAUUAACUCAGCGAGCGAAUGCAACUGAACAUCAAGAAGUCACUCCAGUAUCUUUGCCAUCGAGUACGGGUGCAACUAUUGCCAUAUGAGGUUAGAAGCGGGAUACAAGUUGAUCAUCAAGGAGACCGUUGCUGAAGAGAUUUCCCAACCCAAGAGAUUUGAUCCUCGGAAAGAAAUUGAUUCUUUCCAAGAAUAAGGUUAAUUCCCGUUACUCUUCCUUGAUGUGUGGACUUUGACAGCUUUCCAUUUUAAAGUCUUGAUAGCGCCGGAUUUGCUCCUUAAUUCUGGGUCCUUCCAGUAAUAGCUACUGAUUGAUUAUCUUGCCGGAUCUUCAAUGCUUCUUUUCCUUUUUAACUCUUCAACCAAUCUCAGAUUGAUUAUCUCGCCGGAUCGUCAGUGCUUCUUUUCCUUUUGAAUGCUUCAAUCAAUCUUUGAUUGAUUUCUUCCUUCAGCUUUGAUUGUUUCUCUUUGUGCACUUCGAUCUUGGUUGAUUUCCUUGAGUCCCUACACCAAAAGCAAUUAUAUUACUUUUUCAUCGUUAAAACUAAAACCUAACAAUCUCCCAUUUUUUUGAUGAUGACAAAAAAAUAAUAUAUGUAAACAUCAGUUAACUUCCCUAUAUUUUACUCCCCCUCAAUGAGUGAGUUGACUUCCCCUUAAUAGGUGCCGUUGGGACUACUUCUUUUAAUCGACUUCUCAUGUAGUAUCUAUAGUCGACUCCCCCUGCAAUGGAUGUACCUGCACGAAUAUAUGUAUAGCCUUCUCCCCCUUUCUGACAUCAGCAAAGAGGGGAUAAAAACAACAAUACACCAGAUACUAAAGCGGAAUUUGUAGCAUGGUAUGCAUGUAGAGUUAAAAAAAAAUCAUCCAACGACUGUUAUUCAGUCCAAAACAGCACAACAAAAAAUAUUGUUUGAAACUUCCACACUAACGACGCAAGAAAUAAGUAAGAGUGUUGCAAAUCGCCUUCUUCAGUUGAUCAAAGCUAGCAUUAGCUGAGACAGUCACUCCAUCAAGCCUGUCGUGUACUUCCACACGAGUUUCAAAGCUAACACCACUUGGACCUAACUGGUUUGGGAGGGAUUCAGAUGAACACUCAGCAAUACAAUGUUUUGCUUGAUCAAAGGUGAUUUCAAAAUCAUCAGGCCAAGAAUUUUUGAAAAGCAUGGGAAAACCAAAACACUUACACUGGAAAAUUGAGUCAAACAUCGCACAAUCAAGAACGAUGCGCUUUCCUAACACUAAGGAUUCCAACUUGUCAGACUUACUAGACCGAAAAUUGGCAUAAAACAUUCUUACUAGGGGUUCACAGACUUUAGGAGGGGGAACAUAAAAGAAUUUUGACCAGCCUUGAUAAACAAACAGAUCUUUUACCUUACAGUUUAGGGCUUCCAUGUCAUCAAGGUCGACUACUUUGCCAUGAGUGAUUGGCUUGUCUUUCAGAGCAAUAAAAAAAUUCCUGUUUGGAGAAUCUCAGAAAUUUAGGUCAGACUCUAAAGAACUUGAGAGAUCUAUUUUCGAUUUCUUUGGAGUAAGGGAUUCAGGAGGUUCUUCCAAAGGUCUUUUUCCUAGGGCUUUUUCUCCUAGAGGAUGAGAAUGAUCUGAGAGUUCUGCCUGAGAUGAGGCAAAGCCUUCUGAGUGGUCGGAUCCUAGGUUUACUUGUUCUGGAACGAGUACUUUUCCUGGUGGAGGCUGAGGGAUUUUUAGAGUGUAGCCAUGGAAAAAACUGGUUGAAGAGAGUUUCAGAGAGGUUUUCUAGGCGAUGGGAGUGAUAGAGAUUGGAAGAGGGUUAUAGAGAUUAAAAGAAAGGGUUUCUGACGAUUGGGUACAGGAAAGGAAAUGGUGUCAGUUGAACAGGCGUGAUGAUUGGUUUUCCUUUCCUGAACGCUGCAACUGAUGUGAAAAGAGAGGAAAAGAGGGGGAAUUCAGAGGCGCUAUUAAUGACUAUGAAAAGACAAAGUUUAAACAUUAGGCAUACAAAACAUAAAAAUAUCACAUAGGUCCUAAUAUUAAUGAUCAAUGGAAAUAAUACCAAGUAAUUCUCUUAAAAAGCAAAAUCUGUCUUCAAGUAAAGGUUUAGUGAAAAUAUCUGCUAAUUGAUCAAUAGUUCCAACAAAAGAUAAUUCUAUAUUUCCCUUAAGAACAUGAUCUCAAAUGAAAUGAUGCUUGAUGUCUAUAUGCUUUGCCCUAGAGUGAUGCACAUGAUCUUUUGAGAGACAUAUAGCGCUAGAGUUAUCACAGAAAAUUGGAAUGAGUUUAAAGAAUAGUUCAUAGUCACCCAAUUGAUGAGACAUCCAUAGUAAUUGUGCACAACAUUGUCCAAUGGCGAUAUACUCAGUCUCAGUUGUGGAUAGUGCAACUGAUCCUUUCUUUUUACUGUUCCAAGAUAUCGGUGUUUUUCCAAGUAAUUGACAUGUUCCGCUGGUGCUUUUUCUGUCUUCCUUAUCACCUGCAAGAUCAGCAUCUGAAAAACCUUCUAGUUUAAAAUUGUUAAGCGUGGAUACCAUAAUCCGUGAGAAAUAGUUCCAAUGAGAUAUCGAAUAAUUCUCUUUACUGCAGUCAGAUGUGAUUCUUUAGGAGCUGACUGAAACCUGGCACAUUUACAAACACUAAACAUAAUAUCUGGUCGACUAGCAGUUAGAUAAAGAAGGGAGCCAAUCAUUCCACGAUAUUUAGUUUCAUCAACAGGAUUUCCCUAUUCAUCUUUGUCAAGACUUGUUGAAGGACUCAUUGGUGUGCCAAUAGCUUUAGCAUUACUCAUACCGAACUUCUGAAUCAACUCCUUUGUGUAUUUUGCCUGACAUAUAAACGUUCCUUCUUCAGAUUGUUAGGAAGGAGGAGAGGCGAGUGUGCAUGGAUAGGUAUAAGGCAGCUAGGAAGGAGGCUAAGCUGGCAGUCACAGAGGCUAAGACUGCGGCUUAUGGUCGUAUGUACGAGGAAUUGGGG
Molecule: non-coding RNA, 3406 nt
Organism: Nicotiana tabacum (common tobacco)
Lineage: Eukaryota; Viridiplantae; Streptophyta; Magnoliopsida; Solanales; Solanaceae
Source: RefSeq, a predicted model, not a curated record